Long non-coding RNA from Panicum virgatum (switchgrass), 807 nucleotides. RefSeq lists it as uncharacterized. The record is from RefSeq and is a predicted model, not a curated record. NCBI's taxonomy places the organism in Eukaryota, Viridiplantae, Streptophyta, Magnoliopsida, Poales, Poaceae. The transcript is spliced from 3 exons.
CCUCCCCGUUCACCCCUUUCGCCCAAGCUCCGGCGAUUUGAAGGCGCUCCCCGUCGAUUUCGGCUUCCAGGCGGUGUUUAUCGCCGGUAAGGCGGCGGAAGCCGGGCGGUAGGAGCGGGAACCGCUAGCGUGGCCGCCGGCCUGCCGCGGGCGCCGGUAACCGUCGGUAAAGCGGCGGUUUCCGGCGAUAGAUCGACGAUUCCUGGCGGUACAGAGGCUGUCGGCAUCGGUGUGGCCGUCCCGGAGCGGGAUCCGCUAAUACCGAGUGGUAUUCGGUGAUUCCCGAGUGGUAUUCGGCGCUUUUGGACCGGCAAAUGGUGCAUCCGGUGUGGGAGCAUGGAGAGAAGAGAGGCAAUGGAUGGAAGUGCAACUAUUGCCAUCAACAGAGGGAUGGCGGGUAAAUGGCGGUUUAGCAACUAUCCAUCAUGCAUAUCCAUCACAUCGAGUACCCUAUUUGCCACCCCCAUAUGUUGGCUAUAGAAUACCCAACAUGCAAGAUGCUUCCAAUAUACAGGCUCAAGGAUAUGCGGCAAAUGGUGCCUAUGGCGCAUAUGGGACCUAUGGAGGCUAUGGCUAUGGCUCAUAUCAAUAGGACGAGUCCGAAGAAUAAACUCCAUAUGGUAUGUAUCGUGUGAACUACUAUGUAUUAUGUACAUUAACGGUGAUGGUUUGUAGGGACUAUGGUUGUGAUGAUUUGUAUGGACUAUGAUUGUGAUGACUUGUAUGGACUAUGGUUGUGAUGAUUUGUAUGGACUAUUGUUGUGAUGAUCUAUAUGGACUAUGGAUGUGAAUUUCUAUUUUUAUGGA